Cercocebus atys (sooty mangabey) is the source of this 3922-nucleotide RNA transcript. It is a transcript of the gene named major facilitator superfamily domain containing 2B, with no coding region annotated. The transcript is spliced from 15 exons. NCBI's taxonomy places the organism in Eukaryota, Metazoa, Chordata, Mammalia, Primates, Cercopithecidae. The record is from RefSeq and is a predicted model, not a curated record.
GCAGGAGUAAAAGUUUAUUAAAAAGCUCCGCAGCAGAAAUGAAAGGAAGGAAAGUACACUUGGAAGAGGACCAAGCGGGUGACCUGAAAGACAAGUACACAGUUUCACCUUUUGACCUGAGGUCUUAUACAUUGGCAUACUUCUGGGGUCUUGCAUCCCUUCUCCCCUGAUUCUUCCCUUGGGGGGCCUGUCCGCAUGGACAGUGGCCUGCUAGCACUUGGGAGGGGAGUGUGCACACUGCGUUUCCCGGAGUUGUACCCAUGCUCACUGGAGGCCUUCUUCCCUUACCAGUCCAGUGUCCUUGGAGGAUCACAUGUCGGUUCAACUCCGCAAUUUGUGUAAGCCCACUUGCGCAGCUCCUGAGAUCUUACCGAGAAGCUGAUCACCAGUUUCAGGUUUUCUCUCUCUUUUGGGAGACGGCCUUUCCCUGGCCCCGCUGGAUCAAUUAUCAUUUUAGAGGGAGCAUAACAACCGCCUGACUGUCGCCUGAUGGUUGCCUGAGGCUCCUGGCUGGAAGCGUGGCCCUCUCCUGCCCUGUUCCAGUCUGACUAGCUACCUGCUGUCACCCCCCUUCCCUUUUAAGGACUUUUCUGGAAUAUUGCCUGUGCCACCUGCUUUUAUUCGCUGGCCAGAACUUAGUUACUGGCCAUCCCCGUGGUCUGUAUAGGAGACUGGACAAUGUGUAUUUCAGGCGUUGGGCGUCAUGUGUAGCCGCCGGAAUGCCUGUUCAGCCAUGGUCCAGCCUGAACGAGCGGGCCUCUUGCUUCAUUUUGCGGGGGAGCUGCUGCUUGCCCGCGGUCACCCCAGCGGUCUGACGGAGCCCUCAGCGCUCAGGGCCGCUCACGCCCCUCGGGGAUCCGCCCCAAGGAGAGCGGUCCUGAGGACCUGCCGGGCCUUUACCCCCGCGGAUUCUGGCUCUUCGCUGUUUCCCUUUGGAGAAGCAAAAGAAACGGUGCCCCUCGCGGUUUCUGCGUUUCCCCCGCGUUGCCAGCGUCCACUCGCGCCGCGCCCCUCGCCUGGAGCCGCCCCUCCCAAGGGCGAUAACCCCGAGGGCAACGGCCGCGGGCGGCGCUGCGGUGGCAAUGGCGGCGCCCCCUGCACCAGCCACCGAGGGGUCCCCGCAACCGGAGCCGCACGUCCGGGAGCCCGGCCCGGGGAGCGCCAGACGAGGGCGAGAGGACAGCAGAGCCAGUCGCCUCUCAUUCUGUACGAAGGUGUGCUAUGGCAUUGGUGGAGUCCCCAACCAGAUAGCCUCUAGCGCCACAGCCUUUUACCUGCAGCUCUUCCUGCUUGAUAUAGCACAGAUCCCUGCCGCCCAGGUGUCACUUGUUCUGUUUGGGGGAAAAGUGUCUGGGGCAGCUGCUGACCCUGUGGCUGGGUUCUUCAUCAACAGGAGCCAGAGGACGGGGUCUGGACGGCUCAUGCCUUGGGUGCUGGGCUGCACCCCCUUCAUCGCCCUGGCCUACUUCUUCCUGUGGUUCCUGCCCCCCUUCACCAGCCUGCGAGGCCUCUGGUACACCACCUUCUACUGCCUGUUCCAGGGCCUGGCCACGUUCUUCCAGGUACCCUACACGGCGCUCACCAUGCUGCUGACCCCCUGCCCAAGGGAGCGCGACUCGGCCACUGCCUACCGGAUGACUGUGGAGAUGGCGGGAACACUGAUGGGGGCCACUGUCCACGGGCUCAUCGUGUCUGGCGCCCACAAACACCACAGGUGCGAGGCCACUGUGACCCCGGGGCCAGUCACCAUCUCCCCCAAUGCGGCCCAUCUCUACUACAUUGCGGCUGCCGUGGUUGCGGUGACUUACCCCGUGUGCAGCAGUUUACUGUGCCUAGGGGUGAAGGAGCGGCCAGACCCCUCCACCCCAGCCUCAGGCCCAGGCUUGAGUUUCCUGGCUGGGCUGGGCCUCACUACCCGGCACCCGCCCUACCUGAAGCUGGUGAUCUCCUUCCUGUUCAUCUCUGCUGCUGUUCAGGUGGAGCAGAGCUACCUGGUCCUGUUCUGUACACAUGCCUCCCAGCUACACGACCACGUCCAGGGCCUGGUGCUAACCGUCCUGGUCUCAGCCGUGCUGAGCACCCCGCUGUGGGAGUGGGUUCUCCAGCGCUUUGGGAAGAAGACGUCAGCCUUCGGGAUCUCUGCGAUGGUGCCCUUUGCGAUCUUGCUGGCUGCUGUGCCCACAGCACCUGUGGCUUAUGUCGUGGCCUUUGUAUCUGGCGUGAGCAUUGCUGUGUCCUUGCUGCUACCCUGGUCCAUGCUGCCAGACGUGGUGGAUGACUUUCAGCUGCAGCACCAUCACGGGCCAGGCCUGGAGACCAUCUUCUACUCCUCCUACGUCUUCUUCACCAAGCUGUCUGGUGCAUGUGCCCUGGGCAUCUCCACCCUCAGUCUGGAGUUCUCGGGGUACAAGGCAGGGGCCUGCAAGCAGGCAGAGGAGGUAGUGGUCACCCUCAAGGUCCUCAUCGGUGCCGUGCCCACUGGCAUGAUCCUUGCUGGGCUCUGCAUCCUCAUGGUCGGCUCCACUCCAAAGACGCCCCGUCAGGACGCCUCCAGCCGGCUGAGCCUUCGGAGGAGGACCAGCUACAGCCUGGCGUAAAGCUUGAGAGGGGGACUGUGAAUGGACACAGGAGCCAGCACCCUUGGGGUCUGACAUCGCCCUCCUCCACCCUUCAGCACCCGGCCUGGCAGUUUAGCACUCGGUCUUUUUCCCUGGGAUGUGGAGUCUUUGGCAACAUGUCCUGAAGGGACUGGCCUGUGCUUCAGGACCCCACUUGGCACUUCUUGUCUGUUGCCUUCAGACUAUCUCAGAUAGACCUGUGUCCCUGACUAGGCCAGUAGCACCUGCCUCUAGAAAAAGGAAGCUCCUGCCCAACCUGGCUUGUGGACCCUGUGGGAGCCCCAGGCCCAACAACCUGCGUGGACAGCAAAGCUCCCUGACAGAAGGACAGACACAAGGACUCUUGUUUGUCCCAGGGCUCCAGUGGACAUCUGCUGAGGACACAGAGAGGUUCAGCUCUCCUGAGCCCACAGCUAGGCCCCGUCCACUAAAGAUCUUCAGCCGUCUCUGAGGAGCAAUCCCCCUGAGGCCCAGAACUCAGGUUUGUCCUUAGAUAUGACGCAGUCCUCAGAGCUGAAAGCAUCUCACUGCUUCCACAAACACGGUGGCAGAAGGAACCCGACCUCGCCGGGGGCGUGUGGGGUCUGACCCGGUCUUUCUGAUGCCUCAACUCUCUGGCCCUUAUGACACUGACAUGAGUAUCUGGUUCCUGAGGUCACAGGGCACCAGAGAAAGAGCUGGGCUCAGCUUCUCUGCACUGCCCUUUCUGACAGGAAGCUCUGCCUCCCCGUACUGUGCAUGGACACAAACACACACACACAAGCAAGCACACAUGCAUGCUACUGAAAACAGGAGAGAACGUUUCUUAAUGCUGGGAUAUCACGCGUCACAUGGAAACAGUACCCGGCAAGACAGAAGGCAAUGUAGUUUCUACCAUGUUAUCAUUUUAUGUUAUGCUUUGGCAACCUGGGCAAUGCAGGCAGGAUCAGAAGCUUGUGCCAGAUUCUCUGCUAUCGAUUAUUUCCUGGCAGUGCAGUGGCAGGAAGCAGAGCUAUACGGUGCAAAGGCAGCUACAGGGGCCCUCUGCAGAGCCAGAACCUCCAGGAGUCAGGAGUUAAAGCCCAGAGACAGGAGCUAUCAUGGGCUCGGAGCUGGGCAGAUGCCCUGAAAGGCAUCAUUCCAUUUCUUCUUCACAGCAGCCCUGCUGAGCAUUAUUCUCAUUCUCAGAUGAGGAAACAGGCUUAGAGAGAUUAAGCCACUUGCCCAAGUUCAGUUGCUGGUAGAAAUGAGUCUUUUUGUGUUUGUUUGAAGCAGAGUCUUGCUCUGCUGCCCAGGCUAGAGUGCAGUGUCACAAUCAUAGCUCA